RNAcentral lists this ribosomal RNA (490 nucleotides) under uncultured bacterium. RNAcentral describes it as "bacterial SSU rRNA". It matches the Rfam family "Bacterial small subunit ribosomal RNA", at positions 8 to 518 of the family's 1533-position model. The record is from RNAcentral.
AGAGUUUGAUCAUGGCUCAGGAUGAACGCUGGCGGCGUGCUUAACACAUGCAAGUUGCGCGGUGAUCUCAAGAAGUUUUCGGACGGAAAGGGAGAGCAGCAGCGGACGGGUGAGUAAAGCACAAGGACUUGUCCCGAAGAGGGGGACAACUGUGGGAAACCACAGCUAAUACCCCAUAAGCCGAGGGGUGAAAGCAGUAAUGCGCUUUAGGAGAGACUUGUGUCCUAUCAGGUAGUUGGUGAGGUAACGGCUCACCAAGCCGAAGACGGGUAGCCGGACUGAGAGGUUGUACGACCACAUUGGAACUGAGAGACGGUCCAGACUCCUACGGGAGGCAGCAGUGGGGAAUAUUGGGCAAUGGGGGCAACCCUGACCCAGCGACGCCGCGUGAGGGAAGACAGCCUUCGGGUUGUAAACCUCUGUUGCAGGGGAAGAAGAAAGUGACGGUACCCUGCGAGGAAGCUCCGGCAAACUACGUGCCAGCCGCCGC